UUGUCGGUUAGUCCGCAGUGUGCCCACACC
Molecule: small RNA, 30 nt
Filed under: Bombyx mori (domestic silkworm)
Lineage: Eukaryota; Metazoa; Arthropoda; Insecta; Lepidoptera; Bombycidae
Description: ovarian small RNA-38130
Source: RNAcentral